This 438-nucleotide ribosomal RNA is filed under the name uncultured bacterium. RNAcentral's name for it is "bacterial SSU rRNA". It matches the Rfam family "Bacterial small subunit ribosomal RNA", at positions 355 to 796 of the family's 1533-position model. The record is from RNAcentral.
UCGAGAAUCUUCGGCAAUGGGCGCAAGCCUGACCGAGCGACGCCGCGUGGGGGACGAAGGCCUUCGGGUUGUAAACCCCUGUCGAGGGGGAAGAAGGGGCGGCAAAACCCUUGACUGAUCCCUGGAGGAAGCACGGGCUAAGUUCGUGCCAGCAGCCGCGGUAAGACGAACCGUGCGAACGUUAUUCGGAAUCACUGGGCUUAAAGCGCGUGUAGGCGGGGCGGCACGUCGGCCGCUGAAAUCCCCCGGCUCAACCGGGGAAGCGGCGCCGAUACGACCGCCCUGGAGGGGCGUAGGGGGAGCUGGAACUUCCGGUGGAGCGGUGAAAUGCGUUGAGAUCGGAAGGAACGCCCGUGGCGAAAGCGAGCUCCUGGACGCCUGCUGACGCUGAGACGCGAAAGCCAGGGGAGCGAACGGGAUUAGAUACCCCUGUAGUCC